UUGUACCAACCCUUUCUAUCAUAUUGUUUUCUAGUCUGGCGGUCAGUCUUGGUUCUCGAGCUCUAAUAUUAUCCAGCACCGGCAUGAUCACUCUACGGCGCCGGCUUUCUUCCGAUCUCCGCCAGCGCCUCGCUGACCUUCACCAUCCAUCGCAUUCCUUCUCCAUCCGCACCUUCUCCCAGGAAAAGGACGGCUUCAAUAGCGGGACCACGAAGCUUGGCCCACCCCCGAUCCAGGUAUCUCUCACUGAAUCCGCAGGAAGAGGUGUCUUUGCCACCCGACGGAUCGGCGCCGGCGAGCUCAUACACACUGCAAAUCCCCUCGUUACUCAUCCAACGCAAUCCGGCCUCGACCGUCCACAAGUCUGUUGUUAUUGUCUAAGGAGGCUGGGGAUGCGAGAUGGUGUUCCUGUUACCUCUGCUCCGAAUGGUGGAUUUUGGUAUUUUUGCAGCGAUGCUUGUAAAGAACGUGCGAAGGUUUUCGUGGAAGUGGAAAGGAGAGCAGAUUGGUCAUUCUAUGAUGAACACUGUAGUAUGCGGCAAUUAAAGUACCCUUUUAUGGUAAAGAGAUUAGCUUGUAUGGUGAUCUCAGGAGGAGCAUCAGUAGACUGUCUUGACAUACUCCAACCAGCCUAUUUACAUCCUCAGACUAUUUUAGAGAUGGAAAAGGAAUUUGAGUUGCUUAAAGCUACUUUUCUGAAGGCUCAGAUUGAUGAUGAACUGAUUGCAUUCCUCACAAAGAGGUGGUAUACUGGUGCAUUAGCACGAUUGCAUAUAAAUUCUUUCCGAAUAGAACUGAUUGGAGGAUCAUAUGAGAGUCUGUUGGCAUCUGCAGCUGCUAUUGUUGAAGGUGAAGCAGCUGUUGGAAAUGCGGUUUAUAUGCUUCCAUCGUUCUACAAUCAUGACUGUGCAAAUCAAGAUUGCCCAUUGCAUCAAAUGGAUGUGAAGAAUGCAUUUCUCAAUGGUGAUAUAGAAGAAGUUUACAUGAAUAUUCCACCAGGAAUGGAAACUUUUUUCGGAAGCAAAAAGGUGGAUAAUGAGGAAGAGCUACUGAGAUUAAAAUAACUCUUAGCCAAAGAGUUUGAAAUCAAGGACCUUGGAUGUCUCAAAUAUUUCCUUGGCAUGAAGGUAGCUAGAUUAAAGGAAGGUAUGUUCUCAAUGUAAAUAUGUCUUACGUUUAUUGAAAGAGACAGGCAUGUUUGGAUGUAAGCCAACAAAUACUCCAAUGGAUUCAACUAAGAAGAUAAGAUCUGGAAAAGAAAAUGUCUCAGUGGACAAGGGAAGAUAUCAGAGACUUGUAGAUCCAAAUGUGAACAUAUUAUGGAUAGAGAAUGCAGAUGCUAAGAUAAGAGCCCUUCGUGAUAUUGAAGCAG
Molecule: RNA transcript, 1372 nt
Organism: Dioscorea cayenensis subsp. rotundata (Guinea yam)
Lineage: Eukaryota; Viridiplantae; Streptophyta; Magnoliopsida; Dioscoreales; Dioscoreaceae
Gene name: histone-lysine N-methyltransferase ATXR4
Exons: 9
Source: RefSeq, a predicted model, not a curated record